This 1747-nucleotide ribosomal RNA is filed under the name Rhipicephalus appendiculatus. RNAcentral describes it as "SSU rRNA". It matches the Rfam family "Eukaryotic small subunit ribosomal RNA". The record is from RNAcentral. Lineage: Eukaryota; Metazoa; Arthropoda; Arachnida; Ixodida; Ixodidae.
AAAGAUUAAGCCAUGCAUGUCUAAGUACAUGCCGAAAUAAGGCGAAACCGCGNAUGGCUCAUUAAAUCAGUUAUGGUUCCUUAGAUCGUUUCUUCCUACNUGGAUAACUGUGGCAAUUCUAGAGCUAAUACAUGCAGUGAGCCUGGAGCCCUUUGGGUAACGGGUGCUUUUAUUAGACCAAGAUCGAUCGGGUUUCGGCCCGUAUUGUGUGGUGACUCUGGAUAACUUUGUGCUGAUCGCAUGGCCACGAGCCGGCGACGUUUCUUUCAAGUGUCUGCCUUAUCAACUUUCGAUGGUAGGUUACUUGCUUACCAUGGUUGUUACGGGUAACGGAGAAUCAGGGUUCGAUUCCGGAGAGGGAGCCUGAGAAACGGNUACCACAUCCAAGGAAGNCAGCAGGCGNGCAAAUUACCCANUCCCGGCACGGGGAGGNAGUGACGAAAAAUAACAAUACGGGACUNUUUUGAGGCCCCGUAAUUGAAAUGAGUACACUCUAAAUCCUUUAACGAGGAUCAAUUGGAGGGCAAGUCUGGUGCCAGCAGCCGCGGUAAUUCCAGCUCCAAUAGCGUAUACUAAAGCUGCUGCGGUUAAAAAGCUCGUAGUUGGAUCUCAGUUCCAGACGAGUAGUGCAUCUACCCGAUGCGACGGCUCGGACUGAACAUCAUGCCGGUUCUUUCUUGGUGCACUUCAUUGUGUGCCUCGAGAUGGCCGGUGCUUUUACUUUGAAAAAAUUAGAGUGCUCAACGCAGGCGAGUCGCCUGAAUAAACUUGCAUGGAAUAAUAGAACAAGACCUCGUUUCUGUUCUGUUGGUUUUUGGAAUACGAGGUAAUGAUUAAGAGGGACGGACGGGGGCAUUCGUAUUGCGGCGCUAGAGGUGAAAUUCUUGGACCGUCGCAAGACGAACUACUGCGAAAGCAUUUGCCAANAAUGUUUUCAUUGAUCAAGAACGAAAGUCAGAGGUUCGAAGGCGAUCAGAUACCGCCCUAGUUCUGACCAUAAACGAUGCCAACCAGCGAUCCGCCUGAGUUACUCAAAUGACUCGGCGGGCAGCUUCCGGGAAACCAAAGUAUUUGGGUUCCGGGGGAAGUAUGGUUGCAAAGCUGAAACUUAAAGGAAUUGACGGAAGGGCNCCACCANGAGUGGAGCCUGCGGCUUAAUUUGACUCAACACGGGAAAACUUACCCGGCCCGGACACUGGGAGGAUUGACAGAUUGAGAGCUCUUUCUUGAUUCGGUGGAUGGUGGUGCAUGGCCGUUCUUAGUUGGUGGAGCGAUUUGUCUGGUUAAUUCCGAUAACGAACGAGACUCUAGCCUAUUAAAUAGGUGCGGGGUUCCCAGCACCUUACAACCUUCUUAGAGGGACAAGCGGCUCCUAGCCGCACGAAACAGAGCAAUAACAGGUCUGUGAUGCCCUUAGAUGUCCGGGGCCGCACGCGCGCUACACUGAAGGAAGCAGCGUGUCUUUAUCCCUGUCUGAAAAGACUGGGUAACCCGUGGAACUUCUUUCGUGAUUGGGAUAGGGGCUUGCAAUUGUUCCCCUUGAACGAGGAAUUCCCAGUAAGCGCGAGUCAUAAGCUCGCGUUGAUUACGUCCCUGCCCUUUGUACACACCGCCCGUCGCUACUACCGAUUGAAUGAUUUAGUGAGGUCUUCGGACCGAUGUCCGGCGCGGCCUUUCGGUUGCGCCGGUCUGUUGGAAAGAUGACCAAACUUGAUCAUUUAGAGGAAGUAAAAGUCGUAACAAGGUU